Molecule: long non-coding RNA, 819 nt
Filed under: Marmota monax (woodchuck)
Lineage: Eukaryota; Metazoa; Chordata; Mammalia; Rodentia; Sciuridae
Source: RNAcentral
GGUAGUUCUUGUAAUAAAAAAAAUUGGAGGUUGAAUUUUAGCAAAACCUUCUAUCACAGGAAUAUAUGAUGCUAAAAUAGGUCCUACUCCAAACUAUUUUUUCAAAUCCUUAUCCUUCAGUGGAAGAGUCUUUAGAGCUUCAAAAAUAAAUAGCUGGGAUUGCCUAAGUUAAAUACACUCAUAUGACACUAAAUACUAAAGUUGAGAUGUAUUUAAUGAACAAGGCCUUGAAUAAUGAUCCUAGUAGUGCCUCUUUAAACUUUAUAGUUUUCAGAAAAACUGAAGAUUUGUUAUUAUCUCUUCUAUGGCUAGAGAGAUCAGCAUGUAUUUUUCUCUGUAAAACUUCUUUGAGACUAGAUGACCAGAGCUAAAGAAUAUUCAGAAUAGGAAAGCUUAUGAUAUUUCUUAUUAAUUAGCAUCCAAAUAUAGCACAAAUAUAUAUUGAAUCAAUAUAUCUUUAUUUGAACCAAGAGGGUAUUUGGUUGUAUUUCCAUUUGUUCUAUUAGAAGAUAUAAAAGGAAUUAGAAUAAAACUGUUUGGAAGAAACUUACUCAGAAAACAGUACAUUGUUUUACCCAGAAAGUUAUAACAAAGUAGACGACUUCAGAGUGGUAUAGAAGUCAUGAUCCUUUAAAAGAAAAUCUUUUAAAACUCACAGAUUAAUUUUAUUUGUUCAAGUUAUAAUUUAAAAUAAACAAUUUACAAGAGUGACAGGUUUAUUGCAUAUUUUAUUUUGUAGUCCUAAGUACCCCAUUUUGUAAUGCCAUUUAGACAUUCUUAAGUUAGAUAGGUACAUAAUUGUUUUGUAUUAAAAUACGC